AGAGUUUGAUCAAUUGGGCUCAGGAUGAACGGCUAGCGGCAGGCCUAAUACAUGCAAGACAACGGUAAGUUGAGUAGCAAUACUUAGCCAAGAGUGUCGUACGGGUGCGUAACACGUAUGCAACCUACCCUAUACAGGAGGAUAGCCUAGGGAAACCUGGAUUAACCCUUCAUAGUAUUAUUGGAUGGCAUCAUUUGAUAGUUAAAACUGAGGUGGUAUAGGAUGGGCAUGCGUCUGAUUAGUUAGUUGGCGGGGUAAUGGCCCACCAAGACGAUGAUCAGUAGGGGUUCUGAGAGGAAGAUCCCCCACACUGGCACUGAGAUACGGGCCAGACUCCUACGGGAGGCAGCAGUAGGGAAUAUUGGUCAAUGGAUGCAAGUCUGAACCAGCCAUGCCGCGUGCAGGAAGAAGGCCUUCUGGGUUGUAAACUGCUUUUGCCAGGGGAUAAAAUUUCCAUGCGUGGAAAACUGAAGGUACCUGGUGAAUAAGCCACGGCUAACUACGUG
This 506-nucleotide ribosomal RNA is filed under the name uncultured bacterium. RNAcentral describes it as "bacterial SSU rRNA". It matches the Rfam family "Bacterial small subunit ribosomal RNA", at positions 8 to 507 of the family's 1533-position model. The record is from RNAcentral.